GAGGAAUAUUGGACAAUGGGUGAAAGCCUGAUCCAGCCAUCCCGCGUGAAGGAUGACGGUCCUACGGAUUGUAAACUUCUUUUGUACAGGGAUAAACCUAGUCUCGUGAGACUAGCUGAAGGUACUGUACGAAUAAGCACCGGCUAACUCCGUGCCAGCAGCCGCGGUAAUACGGAGGGUGCAAGCGUUAUCCGGAUUUAUUGGGUUUAAAGGGUCCGCAGGCGGGCCGAUAAGUCAGUGGUGAAAUCUCAUAGCUUAACUAUGAAACUGCCGUUGAUACUGUCGGUCUUGAGUAAAUUAGAGGUAGCUGGAAUAAGUAGUGUAGCGGUGAAAUGCAUAGAUAUUACUUAGAACACCAAUUGCGAAGGCAGGUUACCAUGAUUUAACUGACGCUGAGGGACGAAAGCGUGGGGAGCGAAC
Molecule: ribosomal RNA, 420 nt
Filed under: uncultured bacterium
Lineage: Bacteria
Description: bacterial SSU rRNA
Rfam family: Bacterial small subunit ribosomal RNA
Source: RNAcentral